CUGGAGGGAAGCGGAGGAGGAAAGGAAGAUGCUUACCGUCCUCACCAGAGCGAAGAGGAGAAGGAAAAGUGGGACACAGAAAGGUUGGAGAGAUUGCCAGA
Long non-coding RNA from Lemur catta (Ring-tailed lemur), 101 nucleotides. RefSeq lists it as uncharacterized. Lineage: Eukaryota; Metazoa; Chordata; Mammalia; Primates; Lemuridae. The transcript is spliced from 3 exons. The record is from RefSeq and is a predicted model, not a curated record.